Molecule: long non-coding RNA, 4284 nt
Filed under: Zea mays
Lineage: Eukaryota; Viridiplantae; Streptophyta; Magnoliopsida; Poales; Poaceae
Description: long non-coding RNA (ZMAY_LNC004344)
Source: RNAcentral
AUGGCAAAUUAAAUAAACAUCCAUCGUUCUAGUCUUGAUUUAAUAACAAGAAGGAUCACAUUCAGAGGUGCUUGACAGGUUCCAACUGAAAGUUCGCCUACUAGAUUGCUUUCAAACAAUUGCUAGUAAUAAUUUCAAGGUCUUCCAAAUUCUUAGUUGCAUUUUCUUUGAGCCCUCAAAUUUCAAACAACACUGCAAAACAAAGACACAUCGUGAGCUAGGAAAAAAUACUUACUGCAAGAGAUAAGGAUCACAAAAGGGAUUAGACAAGAUAAUAUCAAACAUCAACAUAGCCUUUUAGUCCCAAGCAAGUUGGGGUAGACUAGAGUUGAAACCCAACAAGAUGUCACCAAAAGGAUAAAGAGAGAGAAAGGGGAGGGAAAAGCUUUUGAGAGCACUAAAAGGAAAAAGGCCUAAUCACGGUUCAGGCACGUGGAUAACUUCUUUCCAAACACUUCUAUCAAAACACAACUUCAUUGAGAUAUUCCAUUCCUUCAAGUCCCUUUUGAUUGCCUCCUCCCAUGUCAAGUUUGGUCGACCUCUACUACUCUUCACAUUAUUAUCCCGUUUUAUGAUGCCUCUAUGCACCGGUGCCUCUGAGAGUCUCCGGUGGACAUGCCCAAACCCCAAACCAUCUGAACCGGCGUUGAAUAAGCUUUUCUUCAAUUGGCGCUACUCCUAGUCGAUCGCGUAUGUCAUCGUUUCUCACUCGGUCCAAUCUUGUGUGCCCACAUAUCCAACACAACAUACGCAUCUCUGUGACUGCGACACUUAGUUGUUGGAUAUGUCGCCUCUUAGUAGGCCAACACUCAGCCCCAUAUAACAUAGCGGGCCUAAUCGCUGUCCUGUAAAACUUGCCUUUCAACUUCUGUGGCACUCUCUUGUCACAUAGGACUCCCGAUGCUUGACGCCAUUUCAUCCACCCCGCUUACGGCCGAAAAACCCAGUCGGUUAGCUCAACCCUAGGACUCAUGUGCCGUAUCCCUGGAGAGGCCAGGAGAUAGAGUAAAGCUAGGCGGCGGUGGCGGCGCUAAACGGCCUCUCCGUCUUUAGUGGCAUGUUCGGCCGAAGCUUGUGCCCUCCCCUUGCACGACCACCUCCUGCUCGGCUCCUUAUAAUGGGAGUUCGAUCUCCUGGUUUGGUAAUCUGGGAGACACAAUAUUCCUUCUCCUCUCUCCCUAUUCACUGCUCCAGUUGAGAACUGGAUCGAUUGACUCGAUCCCUGGCCUUCAUGUGGUGAUUCUUACUGGUUGUGAUUGGAAGAAAGCUGUAGCUGGCGCUGCACACGUGCAGCAACAGUUCCUUGCGCUCUUCUUCUGUGCUCGGACUCCUGUGUGGUGUUGUGCACUUCUCUCUGGUUGUUGUCGACCGUGGCUUGGUGCUUGGGCUUCCUACUGCGCGGUGUUCAUCUUCUCGGGCUGGUGCCAUGGGCGUUUCCCUCAGUUUCAGCAGCGGCUCUAGUAUCUCCGUAAACCUCCCGCUGUGCAGGCUCGGACGUGGGCGGCAGAAUUGGUUUUCUGGGACAGAACUUCGUGUUCGCUGAGCUGGUCUUCCCAUGUAGACUAUCUACGUGUUGUGAGUUGCCCGUUGCCUCACUUUAUUUACUGUUUGAUUUUGUGCAAUCUGCUAGUAUUAAAUACUUGGGUGUCAUUGCACUAUUGUGGGUGGAUUUGUAUGCUCGAUGAUGAUAGCGGUGUAGUGACUAGUGAGACAACGUGACAAUUUGAGUUUUUAGUGUGUUGUUAUUUUCAGCAUCAAGUAUAUAUUUAUGCCUAGUUAUAUUAAUCUUUAUUAAGGCUGUUUACUUGUGUUAAGAUCUGUUAUUUUAUUUAGUGCAUAGUUCCCUACUCUUUGUAUUCAUGCUUGAUUUCUAGGCUCAUUAUAUUUGAUCUAAAACCCUGAUUUGGUAAGUUAGGACUGUCACGUUAGUCAAGGAUCUCUGGUCACCAAUUAGCGUUGGAGGGCUAUUCAAUAUAGCAACCCGCUAUUUUGAGAGCAAUAUCAAAAGAUAAACAAUAAUGUUUAUGUGCAUAAUCUGCCUUCUUCAUCUGCAAGCCAUGUUUAAUAUUGAAAUGGACAUGAGUAGCUAUUUUACAUGUUUUCAUGUCCUAGAAUUGCUACUGUUCAUUGCUGCUAUAAUUACAUAUGACAUUUAUCUGAGUUAUAUGUUUGUUUUAUUCAGAAUUAGAAUAUUUAAUAUAUUUAAAUAUGUUGAAAGCAUGUCACUUAUUUCUCUAAAAUUACAACAAUCAUUGCUAUAGUAAUUGUCUCCUCCAGGAAGAUCAACAAAAGUUUCUGGCAAUAUGUUACUUGUUUGGCUAUUCAACCAAUCUUCAUCCCCAUUGUGCAUCCAUAUAAUAUUAUGGAACAACAUUGCCGCAACUGGUAUUUUCACUUGGUUCCUAAUUGGGUGGUGUGUUCCAACUUUUAGAAUGGGGAAACUCUUCUUCAAAACUCAUAUUGCUCUCUCUAUGUGGUUCCGCAGUAAAGCAUGGCGGUGAUUAAAUAAUUCCUUAUAGUUUCUAGACCGUUGGUGACCAUGGCCAAAUUCUUUCAAGUGGUAUCGAACACCACGGUACGGUGCAAUGAAUGAUGGUGUGUCAGCAUAUCCCCCAUUGACAAGAUAAUACUUUCCCUCAGGAACAUGGAAUCAUCCAAGUAGCGUAGACCUUAGAACCCUAGCAUCUGUAGCUGAUCCCUCCUAACCAGAUGAUAUAAAAGUAAAUUUCAAGUCAAAAUCACAAACCAAUAUUACAUUUUGACUUAGUGUGCCUUUUCUAUUCCUAUAGGGAGAUUGCUUUUCUGCUGAAAUGGUAAUGGGAACAUGUGUUCCAUCAAUAGCUCCAAUGCAAUUCUGGAAAUAAGGAAAGAACCGUUCAUCCGUGCUAAUCUUCCAAUGAACUGAAAUUCCAGUGGCAGGCUUCACAAAUCUAUACAUGAGAGAUGGGAUUAUAUGGAAAACUGACUCGAUGUGUCGGUGGAUAGUUUCACCACUAUGUUUGAAUUCAUGUUGUAAAUCCUCAUAACUAGCAUUAUGGGACAACAUGAAAAGGAACAUUCCCAAUUUUUCUUCCACAGUAACACCCCUUAUAUCAUGUAGGAUGUGUUCUUCUCUAAGAAAUGUUGCUAUAUCUUUGAAUAUUCUAGGCUCCAUACAAAAUGCGACAAGACAAUUCUUCUCAUGUCCUUCGAGAAUCUCUUUAAGUCUCUCCUUGCCUGGUAGAAUAGAAGCAUGCCUUGCUCUUUUCUCUCUCCCUCUAUUACUAAUUAGAUAAAGAGCAGGGAAAAGAAAGAGCAUUAACUCCUCGUCCUCCUCUUCUCUUCUAUUCCUAAUUAGCUGAUCCAUUUUUUCUUAUCCUUGGUACAGUCUGAUAUCAUAGCAUACAAAACAAAUAAAUGGACCAAUGAAUUUCAGAAUAUAACUUAUUUAUUAUUGCAUUGUUGUAACACUGUGCUAUAAGAUGACUUUGAUUUAAAUACACUAAUUUUAAUUUUCUAUACUAAUAUAAGUAAGUAUAGAAAUUAUUAGGAGCACUAGUAUAUCAAUUAUUAGGAGGCGAAGCUGAUAAAAACACAGGUGGGUAGUGACAGGUCACAGUAGCUAGCUAUCAAUUUUUAGGAGCACUAGUUAUCGCAAGUGCUACUGCAAGCUCCUGAAAGCUACACAACGACAUACCUGUGGGUAGUGACAGGUCACACUAGCUAGCUAUCAAUUUUUAGGAGCACUAGUUAUUGAGAUGAGCAGAUUUUCAUAGAUAUGCUGCAAAUCGAUGGGGCCUAACAUGGUUAGCGUAGGAUCCUUACUACCGGAAAGAAAGUGAAAGGGCUUUAGCACCAACUGUUUCAACUUUCAAUGGAUUCAAGGACAGACUAGAAACAUGGAGAAUUCGUUGCUCAAAUUUACGUCGGGAAAUGUACACAAAAACAAUUUUCUGGUACUGCAAGCAGCCUUCCAUGUUCCUUAGGCGGCUACUACCAAUGCCAGUACCAGAAGCCGCUGCCUUCGAUGUGGGAAGUCAUCAUACUUGCAACCAGGAAAAUCGAGGUGGAAAGUCACCAUAACUGUAAGCAGUGCCAGACGCCGCAGCCGUUGGCGGCUCGCGCGGGCGCAGGCGCCCUGCCAGGUGCCACUGCUCAAGGAGGUAUCACUCAUAGCAGUGAACAGGAAAAAAUGGUGUACAGGAAGAAGUAAAACUCACACGUUGUACGAACGAGAUCGGUGGUGACGCGGAGAUCUGUGGAUGCCUCUCGACCAAUGACACACGCUCGUCUUGAUCUAGGGUU